This 313-nucleotide ribosomal RNA is filed under the name uncultured Arcobacter sp. RNAcentral's name for it is "bacterial SSU rRNA". It matches the Rfam family "Bacterial small subunit ribosomal RNA", at positions 29 to 334 of the family's 1533-position model. Lineage: Bacteria; Pseudomonadati; Campylobacterota; Epsilonproteobacteria; Campylobacterales; Arcobacteraceae. The record is from RNAcentral.
AGUGAACGCUGGCGGCGUGCUUAACACAUGCAAGUCGAACGAGAACGGAUUUUAGCUUGCUAAAAUUGUCAGCUAAGUGGCGCACGGGUGAGUAAUAUAUAGGUAAUGUGCCCCUUACAAAAGAAUAACAGUUGGAAACGACUGCUAAUGCUUUAUAUGCCUUUAUCACAAAAGUGAGCAAGGGAAAGAUUUAUUGGUAAGGGAUCGGCCUGUACGGUAUCAGUUAGUUGGUGAGGUAAUGGCUCACCAAGACAAUGACGCCUAACUGGUUUGAGAGGAUGAUCAGUCACACUGGAACUGAGACACGGUCCAG